CCUACGGGUGGCUGCAGUGGGGAAUAUUGCACAAUGGGGGGAACCCUGAUGCAGCGACGCCGCGUGGGUGAAGGAGUACUUCGGUACGUAAAGCCCUAUCAGCAGGAAAGAAAAUGACGGUACCUGACUAAGAAGCCCCGGAUAACUACGUGCCAGCAGCCGCGGUAAUACGUAGGGGGCAAGCGAUAUCCGGAUUUUCGGGGUGUAAAGGGAGCGUAGACGGCAGUGCAAGUCCGUAGUGAAAGCCCGGGGAUCAACCCGGGGACUGCGCUGGAAACUGUAAGGCUGGAGUGCGGGAGGGGCAGGCGGAAUGCCUGGUGUAGCGGUGAAAUGCGUAGAUAUCAGGAGGAACACCGGCGGCGAAGGCGGCCUGCUGGACCGUAACUGACGUUGAGGCUCGAAAGCGUGGGGAGCAAACAGGAUUAGAUACCCUUGUAGUC
Molecule: ribosomal RNA, 440 nt
Filed under: uncultured bacterium
Lineage: Bacteria
Description: partial 16S ribosomal RNA
Rfam family: Bacterial small subunit ribosomal RNA
Source: RNAcentral